GACGAACGCUGGCGGCGUGCUUAACACAUGCAAGUCGAACGGAAAGGCCCUGCUUUUGUGGGGUGCUCGAGUGGCGAACGGGUGAGUAACACGUGAGUAACCUGCCCUUGACUUUGGGAUAACUUCAGGAAACUGGGGCUAAUACCGGAUAGGAGCUCCUGCUGCAUGGUGGGGGUUGGAAAGUUUCGGCGGUUGGGGAUGGACUCGCGGCUUAUCAGCUUGUUGGUGGGGUAGUGGCUUACCAAGGCUUUGACGGGUAGCCGGCCUGAGAGGGUGACCGGAAACAUGGGGCAUGAUAAACGCCCGAGCCUCCUAGGGGGGGCAGCAGGGGGGAAUAUGGCACAAGGGGCGGAAGCCUGAUAAAACCGCGCCGGGGGCGGGAGGACGGCUUUCGGGUUGAAAACCGCUUGCCCCUGGGACGAGGGGGGAGGGAGGGAAAGGGAUAAAGAGGCACCGGCAAACUACGCC
RNAcentral lists this ribosomal RNA (468 nucleotides) under uncultured bacterium. RNAcentral describes it as "partial 16S ribosomal RNA". It matches the Rfam family "Bacterial small subunit ribosomal RNA", at positions 28 to 507 of the family's 1533-position model. The record is from RNAcentral.